RNAcentral lists this ribosomal RNA (619 nucleotides) under Curtobacterium sp. Ri1Pt_3660. RNAcentral describes it as "bacterial SSU rRNA". It matches the Rfam family "Bacterial small subunit ribosomal RNA", at positions 391 to 1019 of the family's 1533-position model. Lineage: Bacteria; Bacillati; Actinomycetota; Actinomycetes; Micrococcales; Microbacteriaceae. The record is from RNAcentral.
GCAACGCCGCGUGAGGGAUGACGGCCUUCGGGUUGUAAACCUCUUUUAGUAGGGAAGAAGCGAAAGUGACGGUACCUGCAGAAAAAGCACCGGCUAACUACGUGCCAGCAGCCGCGGUAAUACGUAGGGUGCAAGCGUUGUCCGGAAUUAUUGGGCGUAAAGAGCUCGUAGGCGGUUUGUCGCGUCUGCUGUGAAAUCCCGAGGCUCAACCUCGGGCUUGCAGUGGGUACGGGCAGACUAGAGUGCGGUAGGGGAGAUUGGAAUUCCUGGUGUAGCGGUGGAAUGCGCAGAUAUCAGGAGGAACACCGAUGGCGAAGGCAGAUCUCUGGGCCGUAACUGACGCUGAGGAGCGAAAGCAUGGGGAGCGAACAGGAUUAGAUACCCUGGUAGUCCAUGCCGUAAACGUUGGGCGCUAGAUGUAGGGACCUUUCCACGGUUUCUGUGUCGUAGCUAACGCAUUAAGCGCCCCGCCUGGGGAGUACGGCCGCAAGGCUAAAACUCAAAGGAAUUGACGGGGGCCCGCACAAGCGGCGGAGCAUGCGGAUUAAUUCGAUGCAACGCGAAGAACCUUACCAAGGCUUGACAUACACCGGAAACGGCCAGAGAUGGUCGCCCCCUU